UACGAGAGGCCCCAAACGUUAUUCGGAAUCACUGGGCUUAAAGAGUUCGUAGGCGGCGCGGAAAGUGGGGUGUGAAAGCCCUCGGCUUAACCGAGGAAUUGCGCUCCAAACUACCGCGCUCGAGGAAGAUAGAGGUGAGCAGAACUGAUGGUGGAGCGGUGAAAUGCGUUGAUAUCAUCAGGAAUACCGGAGGCGAAGGCGGCUCACUGGGUCUUUUCUGACGCUGAGGAACGAAAGCUAGGGGAGCAAACGGGAUUAGAUACCCGAGUAGU
Molecule: ribosomal RNA, 272 nt
Filed under: uncultured bacterium
Lineage: Bacteria
Description: partial 16S ribosomal RNA
Rfam family: Bacterial small subunit ribosomal RNA
Source: RNAcentral